This 474-nucleotide ribosomal RNA is filed under the name Diplommatina sp. p TB-2022. RNAcentral's name for it is "partial large subunit ribosomal RNA". It matches the Rfam family "Bacterial large subunit ribosomal RNA", at positions 1938 to 2611 of the family's 2925-position model. Lineage: Eukaryota; Metazoa; Mollusca; Gastropoda; Architaenioglossa; Diplommatinidae. The record is from RNAcentral.
AAUUGUUUUGAUUUCCUGAGGCUGUGCGAAGGUAGCAUAAUGAUUUGUCUCAUAAUUGGAGAAUGGAAUGAAUGGUUUGACUAAGGUGUAACUGUCUCUUAUAUAAUUACUAAAAAUUUAUCUUUAAGUUAAAAAGCUUAAAUUAAAUUAAAAGACGAGAAGACCCUAUUGAGCUUUAUAAUGCUUAUGCUAAUAGUUAUAUCUAUGUAAAAAAAUAAUCUCUUGGCAUAAAAUUUUUAGUUGGGGCGACUUGGGAACAAAUAAAGCUUCCUAAAUAGUUAGUUAGAGGUAUCUAAUAAUCCAAAAAUUUUGAAAUCAAAACAAGCUACCAUAGGGAUAACAGCGCUAUUUUUUUUGAGAGCUCUAAUCGAAAAAAAAGAUUGCGACCUCGAUGUUGGAUUAGGAUAUAAUAAAGGUUGCAAAAGCUUUUAUGUUUAGUCUGUUCGACUACUAAAAUCCUACGUGAUCUGAGUU